UGUGGGGGUGCCGGAGCGGUCAAACGGGCAAGAUUUAAGCUCUUGUGGCUUUUGCCUUCGGGGGUUCGAAUCCUCCCUCCCACAU
This 85-nucleotide transfer RNA is filed under the name uncultured archaeon. RNAcentral describes it as "tRNA-Leu(taa)". It matches the Rfam family "tRNA". From Rfam's summary of the family: Transfer RNA (tRNA) molecules are approximately 80 nucleotides in length. The record is from RNAcentral.